This 167-nucleotide unclassified non-coding RNA is filed under the name uncultured Agaricomycetes. Its description in RNAcentral is "sequence contains ITS1". Lineage: Eukaryota; Fungi; Basidiomycota; Agaricomycetes. The record is from RNAcentral.
UUGAUUUUUAAAAGAUGUGCUGGCAUUUACAAUGCAUGUGCACUCUUCACAAAACCAAUAUCCACCUGUGCACACUCUGUAAGCAAACAGGACAUUUUUUGUCCUUUGCUUAUGUCCUUUUACAAACAAUUGUUGAUCAAUUUGAAUGUUACUAUAAACAACUAAUA